RNAcentral lists this ribosomal RNA (503 nucleotides) under uncultured bacterium. RNAcentral's name for it is "partial 16S ribosomal RNA". It matches the Rfam family "Bacterial small subunit ribosomal RNA", at positions 28 to 523 of the family's 1533-position model. The record is from RNAcentral.
GAUGAACGCUAGCGAUAGGCCUAACACAUGCAAGUCGAGGGGCAGCAUAGAGUAGCAAUACUUUGAUGGCGACCGGCGCACGGGUGAGUAACACGUAUGCAACCUACCUACAUCAGGGGAAUAACCAGGAGAAAUUCGGACUAAUACCGCAUAAUACAGGGAUGCAGCAUGGCAAUAUUUGUUAAAGAUUUAUCGGAUGUAGAUGGGCAUGCGUUCCAUUAGCUAGUUGGUAAGGUAACGGCUUACCAAGGCAACGAUGGGUAGGGGAACUGAGAGGUUUGUCCCCCACACUGGAACUGAGGCACGGACCAGACUCCUACGGGAGGCAGCAGUGAGGAAUAUUGGUCAAUGGACGAGAGUCUGAACCAGCCAAAUCGCGUGAAGGAAGACUGCCCUACGGGUUGUAAACUUCUUUUGUACAGGAAUAAAAGACAUUACGUGUAAUGUAUUGCAUGUACUGUACGAAUAAGCAUCGGCUAACUCCGUGCCAGCAGCCGCCGUAA